Molecule: non-coding RNA, 75 nt
Filed under: Burkholderiales bacterium JOSHI_001
Lineage: Bacteria; Pseudomonadati; Pseudomonadota; Betaproteobacteria; Burkholderiales
Source: RNAcentral
AGGAGCCGUAUGCGGUAGUGCCGCACGUACGGAUCUGUGCGGAGGGCGGGGAGCAAUCUCCGUCCCUACCGCGAC